GGGGGUACCGGGGUGCGGAUCUCGGGGCACCUCCCACCCGUGUUGCCCGAACCUAUGUUGCCUCGGCGGGCCCCGCGCCCGCCGACGGCCCCCCUGAACGCUGUCUGAAGUUGCAGUCUGAGACCUAUAACGAAAUUAGUUAAAACUUUCAACAACGGAUCUCUUGGUUCCGGCAUCGAUGAAGAACGCAGCGAAAUGCGAUAACUAAUGUGAAUUGCAGAAUUCAGUGAAUCAUCGAGUCUUUGAACGCACAUUGCGCCCUCUGGUAUUCCGGAGGGCAUGCCUGUCCGAGCGUCAUUGCUGCCCUCAAGCCCGGCUUGUGUGUUGGGCCCCGUCCCCCCCGCCGGGGGGACGGGCCCGAAAGGCAGCGGCGGCACCGCGUCCGGUCCUCGAGCGUAUGGGGCUUCGUCACCCGCUCUAGUAGGCCCGGCCGGCGCCAGCCGACCCCCAACCUUUAAUUAUCUCAGGUUGACCUCGGAUCAGGUAGGGAUACCCGCUGAACUUAAGCAUAUCAAUAAACGGAGGAA
RNAcentral lists this ribosomal RNA (527 nucleotides) under Penicillium citrinum. Its description in RNAcentral is "eukaryotic LSU rRNA". The stretch from base 144 to 297 matches the Rfam family "5.8S ribosomal RNA". The record is from RNAcentral. Lineage: Eukaryota; Fungi; Ascomycota; Eurotiomycetes; Eurotiales; Aspergillaceae.